GGCCUAACACAUGCAAGUCGAGCGCGAAAACACUUCGGUGUGAGUAGAGCGGCGGACGGGUGAGUAAUGCUUGGGAAUCUGCCCAGUAGUGGGGGAUAACGUGUGGAAACGCACGCUAAUACCGCAUACGUCCUACGGGAGAAAGCAGGGGAUCUUCGGACCUUGCGCUAUUGGAUGAGCCCAAGUCGGAUUAGCUAGUUGGUGGGGUAAUGGCCUACCAAGGCGACGAUCCGUAGCUGGUCUGAGAGGAUGAUCAGCCACACUGGGACUGAGACACGGCCCAGACUCCUACGGGAGGCAGCAGUGGGGAAUAUUGCACAAUGGGCGAAAGCCUGAUGCAGCCAUGCCGCGUGUGUGAAGAAGGCUCUAGGGUUGUAAAGCACUUUCAGUAGGGAGGAAAAGCUUAAGGUUAAUAACCUUGAGCCCUGACGUUACCUACAGAAGAAGCACCGGCAAACUCCGUGCCAGCAGCCGCGGUAAUACGGAGGGUGCGAGCGUUAAUCGGAAUUACUGGGCGUAAAGCGCGCGUAGGUGGUUUGAUAAGCUAGCUGUGAAAGCCCCGGGCUCAACCUGGGAACUGCAGUUAGAACUGUCUGACUAGAGUACAGUAGAGGGUGGCGGAAUUUCCUGUGUAGCGGUGAAAUGCGUAGAUAUAGGAAGGAACAUCAGUGGCGAAGGCGGCCACCUGGACUGAUACUGACACUGA
Molecule: ribosomal RNA, 706 nt
Filed under: gamma proteobacterium IMCC14947
Lineage: Bacteria; Pseudomonadati; Pseudomonadota; Gammaproteobacteria
Description: bacterial SSU rRNA
Rfam family: Bacterial small subunit ribosomal RNA
Source: RNAcentral